CCUACGGGAGGCAGCAGUGAGGAAUAUUGGUCAAUGGUCGGGAGACUGAACCAGCCAAGCCGCGUGAGAGAGGAAGGUACAGAGUAUCGUAAACCUCUUUUGUCAGGGAACAAAGGCGGGGACGUGUACCCGGAUGAGUGUACCUGAAGAAAAAGCAUCGGCUAACUCCGUGCCAGCAGCCGCGGUAAUACGGAGGAUGCGAGCGUUAUCCGGAUUUAUUGGGUUUAAAGGGUGCGUAGGCGGCCUGUUAAGUCAGCGGUGAAAGUCUGUGGCUCAACCAGAGAAUGGCCGUUGAAACUGGGAGUCUUGAGUAUGUUUGAGGCAGGCGGAAUGCGUGGUGUAGCGGUGAAAUGCUUAGAUAUCACGCAGAACCCCGAUUGCGAAGGCAGCCUGCCAAGCCAUGACUGACGCUGAUGCACGAAAGCGUGGGGAUCAAACAGGAUUAGAUACCCCAGUAGUC
RNAcentral lists this ribosomal RNA (460 nucleotides) under uncultured bacterium. Its description in RNAcentral is "partial 16S ribosomal RNA". It matches the Rfam family "Bacterial small subunit ribosomal RNA", at positions 338 to 795 of the family's 1533-position model. The record is from RNAcentral.